Molecule: non-coding RNA, 31 nt
Filed under: Mus musculus (house mouse)
Lineage: Eukaryota; Metazoa; Chordata; Mammalia; Rodentia; Muridae
Also listed under: 1 other name
Source: RNAcentral
UUUAUGUCACAAAGCUAACAAGAGACAGACC